GACGAACGCUGGCGGCGUGCUUAACACAUGCAAGUCGAGCGGUAAGGCCCUUUCGGGGGUACACGAGCGGCGAACGGGUGAGUAACACGUGGGUGACCUGCCCUCAGCUCUGGGAUAAGCCUGGGAAACCGGGUCUAAUACCGGAUAUGACUCCAUGACGCAUGUUGUGGGGUGAAAGCCUUGUGCGGCUGAGGAUGGGCCCGCGGCCUAUCAGCUUGUUGGUGGGGUGAUGGCCUACCAAGGCGACGAUCCGUAGCUGGUCUGAGAGGAUGAUCAGCCACACUGGAACUGAGACACGGUCCAGACUCCUACGGGAGGCAGCAGUGGGAAUUUUGGACAAUGGGGCAACCCUGAUCCAGCCAUUCCGCGUGAGUGAAGAAGGCCUCGG
This 388-nucleotide ribosomal RNA is filed under the name uncultured bacterium. RNAcentral's name for it is "bacterial SSU rRNA". It matches the Rfam family "Bacterial small subunit ribosomal RNA", at positions 28 to 420 of the family's 1533-position model. The record is from RNAcentral.